RNAcentral lists this non-coding RNA (26 nucleotides) under Mus musculus (house mouse). Lineage: Eukaryota; Metazoa; Chordata; Mammalia; Rodentia; Muridae. The record is from RNAcentral.
UGUCAAAGGGAUCGAGUAAGUGAUGU